ACCCCACUGCUAUCGGGAUAGGACUAAGACAUGCUAGUCGCGUGCCUCAGCCAAAACGAGGCACGGCAUACAGCUCAGUAGCACGUGGCUAACCUGCCCUUGGGACGGGAAUACCCCCGGGAAACUGGGGCUAAUUCUCGAUAGGCGAAGAACUCUGGAAUGAGUCUUUACCCAAAAGGCCCUACGUUAUGCUCGUAGGUUUCGCCCAAGGAUGGGGCCGCGACCGAUCAGGUUGUUGGUGAGGUAAUGGCUCACCAAGCCUUUAACCGGUGCGGGCCGUGGGAGCGGGAGCCCGGAGAUGGGCACUGAGACAAGGGCCCAGGCCCUACGGGGCGCAGCAGUCGCGAAAACUUUGCAAUAAGCGAAAGCUUGACAGGGCUAUCCCGAGUGCCAUCCGCUGAGGAAGGCUUUUACCCAGUCUAGAACGCUGGGGGAAUAAGGAGAGGGCAAGUCUGGUGUCAGCCGCCGCGGUAAUACCAGCUCUCCGAGUGGUGUGGAUGUUUAUUGGGCCUAAAGCAUCCGUAGCUGGCUAGGUUAGUCCCUUGUUAAAUCCACCGAAUUAAUCGUUGGAUAUCGGGGGAUACUGCUUGGCUAGGGGACGAGAGAGGCAGACGGUAUUCUCGGGGUAGGGGUGAAAUCCUAUAAUCCCGGGAAGACCACCAGUGGCGAAGGCUGUCUGCUAGAACGCGCCCGACGGUGAGGGAUGAAAGCUGGGGGAGCGAACCGGAUUAGAUACCCGGGUAGUCCCAGCUGUAAACGAUGCAGGCUAGGUGUUUGGACGGCCACGUGCCGUUCUAGUGCCGCAGGGAAGCUGUUAAGCCUGCCGCCUGGGGAGUACGAUCGCAAGAUUGAAACUUAAAGGAAUUGGCGGGGGAGCACCACAAGGGGUGAAGCUUGCGGUUU
RNAcentral lists this ribosomal RNA (903 nucleotides) under uncultured marine crenarchaeote. Its description in RNAcentral is "bacterial SSU rRNA". It matches the Rfam family "Archaeal small subunit ribosomal RNA", at positions 21 to 903 of the family's 1478-position model. The record is from RNAcentral. Lineage: Archaea; Thermoproteati; Thermoproteota.